Molecule: unclassified non-coding RNA, 2180 nt
Filed under: Hevea brasiliensis (rubber tree)
Lineage: Eukaryota; Viridiplantae; Streptophyta; Magnoliopsida; Malpighiales; Euphorbiaceae
Source: RNAcentral
AAUAUAUUUAAUAGAACAGCCUAGGAGCUACUUUCUCUUCUUUUUUUUCCCUGCUUUGAUUCGUCUCCUCUGUCUUCUGUGUGAAACCCCUUUAUCUAUCUUUAGGAGCUACUUGACGUCGACUGCGGAUGCUUUAUCCAGCUCAGGUGUGACGCGUUUGCUGCCAAUCCACUUGGAGCUGUCGAAAUUCUUCGUAGAUUAGAAGCCACGAUUGUAGCUGUUUAUCAGGGUGCUUAAAUGGAGAAAUCUGCUGUUGUUAAGGAAAAUUACCUCAACGGAAAUCAAUUUCACUCGUUUUCUUCUUCAUCUGUUUCUCUUAGACACGUUAGUUACAGGUCCUAUUCCUUUCUCUUUCUCUAAGUGAAGAUAAUGAUCCAAUUUAUGUUAAUUAGUUGUUUUUCUUGUUGGUUUUUGUGGGAACUUAUUUGAUUGGUAUGUAAGAAAUUGAUUUCUUAUGUGGAUUUUUUUGUAUUUGGUUGAUUUCAAAUUGGUUGAUUCGAUUUUGAUAUCUGUUGCAUAUAGGAAUAAAUCACUUUGGUGAUCUUGUUGGGGCUUGUUUGAAAUACUUGAAUUGAUUGUUCUUACUUUCUCCUAGAUAGAUUCUUGAUAAAGGGUGUUUUUGUAACUUUCUUUUAAAUCUUAUUAGAUUAAUAUGCGUUGUCAAUUUUCUAAACUCGAAAAUAACAAGUCUUUCCAGCUCUAUAUAGAGUAAUGAAUUUUCUGGGUUAGAGAUAGAGAGCUUGAAAUUCGUAAAGUUUGUAACUUCAAUGAUUUGAUAUGUUCUUGUGGCACACGAUAUAUUUUGCGGACUCGCAGGAGGACCCAAAAAUGAAAAACUGACCCUGUUUGGUACGUGUGGCAUUGAAUCUGUUGAUUCAACCAGUCCUGUCAUUCAUGUUAUACAUCUUGAAAGUAAAAUAUAGAUUCAUCAUCCUUCAUAUUUUUUGAUGGUCUGUGAAUGAGGAUCGAGAAUUAUUUUGUUAGUGCAGUGGUUACGUAGUAUGGAAAGAAUUGUCUCAUUAAUUUUAGCUUUUCUGCCUCAUUUAGUGUCUAUUGAAGUGGCUGAUAUUAGUGGAGUGGAUGACAAAACAAUAAUGAUUAGCUGCAAUUCAAAUUUGGCCACCAUUAAAAUUUGAUGGUGCUUUUGAAUGUCCCAUUGAAUGUGAACCGUUGUGAUUCAUAGACAACUUAUCACUGUUGUAGAAAUGGUUGCCACAUAGUUCUCAUAUCAACUUCUGAAUUCUGAUGUCCAUUCACACCUUGUUUUGAAUGACAAUUAGAGUGACGAAGAAAUACCAAGAGAUACUAAUAAACUUACCCAUGUUAAAUAACAUUUACAAAUUGGUAUAACUAUACAAUUCUUGUGGUUUUCAACCUCUAUUGGGUUCUUGUGGUUUUGGUUGUUUCACCAAAGGGUCAUUUUUCUGGAAACUGAAAAAUGAAGAUCUUUGAUGUAGCUGUGGCACUUGUGGAUAUGAGUUGAACUUAAGCUCCUCCAAUCGAAACACCUCAACUAUUGGCUCUAAGUAUGGGAAAUCCAUAAAGCGAGGGAUCAUCUCAUUCUUUGACAUUGAUGAGAGCAGAUUUACUCAGGCUGAAGAAUUCCAAUGUAUCCCCUACUUUUCAAAGAACUCAUGGGGAUUGUUCCGUAGGAGAACCAAACUUCUUUGCCGUAAAUGUGGCAAUAAUAUUGGAGUUGCCUAUGAUGAUGAAACUUCAGCUUAUCCACUAGUAUCAGAUGGUUCAGAUUCAUCCUCUGUCAAUGAAUCCAAACUUCGAAAAUAUGAUGUUAAAAUCCGUGCAUUGCAGCCUUCAUCUGUUGAUCGGUAUGGUAUUCCACUUUAUGUAUAAUGUGUUGCAGCCAAUCUUUGCAUAAUUCAUGUUAAUUGAAUUUGAAGGUUAUCAUAACUAUAGCAUAAGUUUUCUUGUAAUAUAUUCAUGUAUACAUGUUUGGAGUCCUCUUUCAUUUUUGUUUCUGCGUUUACCCUCAUUUUUUAGAUGUUGAGUUGGUAACUUGUACAAAGCAGUAUUGGGAACUGAAAUAGAUGAAAGCAAUUGUGGAGUCUAAAGGGAGUUAAGGGUAUUGAGCAAAUUUCAUGGACAGUUUUCAGAUUUUGUUUUAUGAUGAUGGUGUGAUAUCUGAAAUUGUACUAUAUAUGAAUGAGUAGAUUUUGGAGAAG